This 75-nucleotide transfer RNA is filed under the name Pythium insidiosum. Its description in RNAcentral is "tRNA-Asp". It matches the Rfam family "tRNA". Rfam says of the family: Transfer RNA (tRNA) molecules are approximately 80 nucleotides in length. Their secondary structure includes four short double-helical elements and three loops (D, anti-codon, and T loops). Lineage: Eukaryota; Oomycota; Peronosporomycetes; Pythiales; Pythiaceae. The record is from RNAcentral.
GGGAAAAGUAGCUCAGUUGGUUAGUAGUAGUAGCUUGUCACGCUAUUGGUCGCGGGUUCGAGUCCCGUUUUUCCG